AUUGCAGUUGCCAGAGAGAGAGAGUUCAUUGGACAUUUUCGUUUAACAAAACUUGGAUUCCAACAGGUUUUGGUAGAACUUAGUCCUCAUCUACCAAUAGUUAAACGAAAUACAGGUGUUCGCAAUGCACUCAAAAUUCUAGCAGCAUUAAAUUUUUAUGGUAAUGGAUCAUAUCAACGGAAUGUGGGUGCAUCAUUUCUACUGAAUAUGUCGCAACCUACAUUCUGUAAAUGUUUACAUGAGGUAACUGGUGCACUCAAUACCAACGAAAUCCUUAG
This 278-nucleotide unclassified non-coding RNA is filed under the name Melitaea cinxia (Glanville fritillary). RNAcentral describes it as "misc RNA ENSMCXG00005000709.1". Lineage: Eukaryota; Metazoa; Arthropoda; Insecta; Lepidoptera; Nymphalidae. The record is from RNAcentral.